AACGAACGCUGGCGGCAUGCCUAACACAUGCAAGUCGAACGAUUGCCUUCGGGUGAUAGUGGCGCACGGGUGCGUAACGCGUGGGAAUCUGCCCUUGGGUUCGGAAUAACAGCUGGAAACGGCUGCUAAUACCGGAUGAUAUCGCGAGAUCAAAGAUUUAUCGCCUGAGGAUGAGCCCGCGUUGGAUUAGGUAGUUGGUGGGGUAAAGGCCUACCAAGCCGACGAUCCAUAGCUGGUCUGAGAGGAUGAUCAGCCACACUGGGACUGAGACACGGCCCAGACUCCUACGGGAGGCGGCAGUGGGGAAUAUUGGACAAUGGGCGCAAGCCUGGUCCAGCAAUGCCGCGUGAGUGAUGAAGGCCCUAGGGUUGUAAAGCUCUUUUACCCGGGAAGAUAAUGACUGUACCGGGAGAAUAAGCCCCGGCUAACUCCGUGCCAGCAGCCGCCGUAA
Molecule: ribosomal RNA, 451 nt
Filed under: uncultured bacterium
Lineage: Bacteria
Description: partial 16S ribosomal RNA
Rfam family: Bacterial small subunit ribosomal RNA
Source: RNAcentral